UGUGUGGCGGGGUUGGCUGCCGGCAGCGUCAGGCUUCCUCCGGCCACCUCCACCCCUCUGCGUCAGGGGGCCUUCCUCUCUCACCUGCUGGCAGCCCCCGGGAGCAGCCGGGUAACCAGCAUUGACUCAGCGGCGUUCACGGUCCAGCAGAGUCAUGGAGGGUGGCACGUGGAGAUGUAUGCCCCCUGCUUACAUCUCUCUCAGAUGGCUCAUCCACUGAGGACAGAAGACAGGCCUGGAGACCGUGUGACUCAGGGAUGAACUGCAGCUGGUUGACAAUUCUACAGAAGAUGUGCUUCAGUCUGCUUUCCUAAAAUAGGUACACUUAGCUGAUUAAAGAGUUUUUUGUUCCGAGAAGAGUAUCCCCGGUGGCCUGAGGGCGGGGCCACACCGGGCGCCUCCCACCCUCCCACCGGCUGGGCCUGUCCAUGGCUGCCAGAGCUUGUGACUCGUCGGGAGGGGCCCGAGGCUCAGGGUGAAGCAGGCCUCCUCCGUGCGUGCCCACUCUUCCAGACCGCAGCUGAUAGUAACCGCGGCCCUGACCGCAAACCCGACCUGCGGCAGCCCUGGUGGCCUCUGGUGCUCAGCCAGUUGUGAGAGGAGAAAGUCGGCACGCCUGCAGGGGUCUAGACGUCACACAGAUCCUGAGGGCGGGAGCUGGAACCACAGCUUCGGAGGACCUGGGACCCAAAGCCGAGAGACCACAGGGAUCCCAGGCUGUUGAAAUUGGCAUGGGAGGGAGGAAAACGCUUGGUUAAAGAAGAUGGACACAGGAAGAAAGGUGGGACGUACUGGCACCUGGGAGUAUGACGCUCUCAUCAUGACCAAGACCAUAAGUGUGAUUUCCAUUUAGAAAGACAGUUACGAGCCAGUAUAUAAAGCGCUUGCAGUCACUUAAGGAAAAUAAUGCACGUACUGCAAGGAUCUGAAUAUCUUAUCAGUCAUUAAAGUCCAGGGCAGUGCCCACAGGAGCCCCUGCAGGAUGCCACCCCAGCAGUCUGCCACAGGGCCAGGGCCUGGGAUUUGCAUUUCCACAAGCUCCUGGUGCCAGAACCCCACUCGGAGAAGGGUUGAUGCACACCCCCACUUCAUACUGCAGCCACCAAGCCCAGGUUUUGGUGAGCUGACACUGGAAGGGCCAUUUCUCAAUGGGGUCUCAGGGCAGUGUGCCCCCAACACUCCAGACCCAUCUUGUCAUGAGGCCACUUGAAACGUGGCCUCCAAGACAGUCCAUGCAAGGGAGGAGAGAGGCAGCCUGAACACCCAGCAGCCCAGAACACGUACCCCAAAACCCUGGGGGAGCCAAGGCAGCCUCAGUGACCCUUCUCCCACGUGUCACUCCCCAGAAGCAGAUGGACCGUCCAAGCCACCAGUGUCCAAGGAGCGUGGCUGCCCCUGGCCCACAGGGAGGAAGAGGGGCACUUUCUGCAGAGCCUCCCGAGAGGGCCCCGUGCUGCCUGGGGAACAGGCGCACGCCCAGCUGCCGCUCUUGGACUUGGUGGGUGGCGAGUGUGCAAGUGAGUGAGAGCAUGAAGCUGUUCCCUUGGGGUACCUGGGGGUGCAGGGGUCCUGACAGAGCCGACAGGGAGCAGACCGCCCCAGGGAGUCCUCAGCCUGACGUGCCUACAGAUGAUAUCCAGUCCCUGCACACCUCCCUGGACUGCCGUCCUACUGUGCAGCUGUCCAUGGAAACCCAAAACACAGAGCU
Molecule: long non-coding RNA, 1708 nt
Organism: Manis pentadactyla (Chinese pangolin)
Lineage: Eukaryota; Metazoa; Chordata; Mammalia; Pholidota; Manidae
Exons: 4
Source: RefSeq, a predicted model, not a curated record